RNAcentral lists this ribosomal RNA (2692 nucleotides) under Klebsiella pneumoniae. RNAcentral describes it as "bacterial LSU rRNA". It matches the Rfam family "Bacterial large subunit ribosomal RNA". Lineage: Bacteria; Pseudomonadati; Pseudomonadota; Gammaproteobacteria; Enterobacterales; Enterobacteriaceae. The record is from RNAcentral.
CGAGGAAAAGAAAUCAACCGAGAUUCCCCCAGUAGCGGCGAGCGAACGGGGAGCAGCCCAGAGUCUGAAUCAGCUUGUGUGUUAGUGGAACGGUCUGGAAAGUCCGACGGUACAGGGUGAUAGUCCCGUACACCAAAAUGCACAGGUUGUGAACUCGAAGAGUAGGGCGGGACACGUGGUAUCCUGUCUGAAUAUGGGGGGACCAUCCUCCAAGGCUAAAUACUCCUGACUGACCGAUAGUGAACCAGUACCGUGAGGGAAAGGCGAAAAGAACCCCGGCGAGGGGAGUGAAAAAGAACCUGAAACCGUGUACGUACAAGCAGUGGGAGCACCUUCGGGUGUGACUGCGUACCUUUUGUAUAAUGGGUCAGCGACUUAUAUUCUGUAGCAAGGUUAACCGUAUAGGGGAGCCGCAGGGAAACCGAGUCUUAACUGGGCGUUAAGUUGCAGGGUAUAGACCCGAAACCCGGUGAUCUAGCCAUGGGCAGGUUGAAGGUUGGGUAACACUAACUGGAGGACCGAACCGACUAAUGUUGAAAAAUUAGCGGAUGACUUGUGGCUGGGGGUGAAAGGCCAAUCAAACCGGGAGAUAGCUGGUUCUCCCCGAAAGCUAUUUAGGUAGCGCCUCGUGAACUCAUCUUCGGGGGUAGAGCACUGUUUCGGCUAGGGGGUCAUCCCGACUUACCAACCCGAUGCAAACUACGAAUACCGAAGAAUGUUAUCACGGGAGACACACGGCGGGUGCUAACGUCCGUCGUGAAGAGGGAAACAACCCAGACCGCCAGCUAAGGUCCCAAAGUCAUGGUUAAGUGGGAAACGAUGUGGGAAGGCACAGACAGCCAGGAUGUUGGCUUAGAAGCAGCCAUCAUUUAAAGAAAGCGUAAUAGCUCACUGGUCGAGUCGGCCUGCGCGGAAGAUGUAACGGGGCUAAACCAUGCACCGAAGCUGCGGCAGCGACACUAUGUGUUGUUGGGUAGGGGAGCGUUCUGUAAGCCUGCGAAGGUGUGCUGUGAGGCAUGCUGGAGGUAUCAGAAGUGCGAAUGCUGACAUAAGUAACGAUAAAGCGGGUGAAAAGCCCGCUCGCCGGAAGACCAAGGGUUCCUGUCCAACGUUAAUCGGGGCAGGGUGAGUCGACCCCUAAGGCGAGGCCGAAAGGCGUAGUCGAUGGGAAACAGGUUAAUAUUCCUGUACUUGGUGUUACUGCGAAGGGGGGACGGAGAAGGCUAUGUUAGCCGGGCGACGGUUGUCCCGGUUUAAGCAUGUAGGCUGAUUGUCCAGGCAAAUCCGGAUAAUCAAGGCUGAGGUGUGAUGACGAGGCACUACGGUGCUGAAGUAACAAAUGCCCUGCUUCCAGGAAAAGCCUCUAAGCAUCAGGUAACAUUAAAUCGUACCCCAAACCGACACAGGUGGUCAGGUAGAGAAUACCAAGGCGCUUGAGAGAACUCGGGUGAAGGAACUAGGCAAAAUGGUGCCGUAACUUCGGGAGAAGGCACGCUGGUGUGUAGGUGAAGUCCCUGCGGAUGGAGCUGAGACCAGUCGAAGAUACCAGCUGGCUGCAACUGUUUAUUAAAAACACAGCACUGUGCAAACACGAAAGUGGACGUAUACGGUGUGACGCCUGCCCGGUGCCGGAAGGUUAAUUGAUGGGGUUAUCCGUAAGGAGAAGCUCUUGAUCGAAGCCCCGGUAAACGGCGGCCGUAACUAUAACGGUCCUAAGGUAGCGAAAUUCCUUGUCGGGUAAGUUCCGACCUGCACGAAUGGCGUAAUGAUGGCCAGGCUGUCUCCACCCGAGACUCAGUGAAAUUGAACUCGCUGUGAAGAUGCAGUGUACCCGCGGCAAGACGGAAAGACCCCGUGAACCUUUACUAUAGCUUGACACUGAACAUUGAGCCUUGAUGUGUAGGAUAGGUGGGAGGCUUUGAAGCGUGGACGCCAGUCUGCGUGGAGCCAACCUUGAAAUACCACCCUUUAAUGUUUGAUGUUCUAACGUUGGCCCCUUACCGGGGUUGCGGACAGUGUCUGGUGGGUAGUUUGACUGGGGCGGUCUCCUCCCAAAGCGUAACGGAGGAGCACGAAGGUUAGCUAAUCCUGGUCGGACAUCAGGAGGUUAGUGCAAUGGCAUAAGCUAGCUUGACUGCGAGCGUGACGGCGCGAGCAGGUGCGAAAGCAGGUCAUAGUGAUCCGGUGGUUCUGAAUGGAAGGGCCAUCGCUCAACGGAUAAAAGGUACUCCGGGGAUAACAGGCUGAUACCGCCCAAGAGUUCAUAUCGACGGCGGUGUUUGGCACCUCGAUGUCGGCUCAUCACAUCCUGGGGCUGAAGUAGGUCCCAAGGGUAUGGCUGUUCGCCAUUUAAAGUGGUACGCGAGCUGGGUUUAGAACGUCGUGAGACAGUUCGGUCCCUAUCUGCCGUGGGCGCUGGAGAAUUGAGGGGGGCUGCUCCUAGUACGAGAGGACCGGAGUGGACGCAUCACUGGUGUUCGGGUUGUCAUGCCAAUGGCACUGCCCGGUAGCUAAAUGCGGAAGAGAUAAGUGCUGAAAGCAUCUAAGCACGAAACUUGCCCCGAGAUGAGUUCUCCCUGAGACUUUAAGUCUCCUGAAGGAACGUUGAAGACGACGACGUUGAUAGGCCGGGUGUGUAAGCGCAGCGAUGCGUUGAGCUAACCGGUACUAAUGAACCGUGAGGCUUAACCUU